UUUGCCCUGAAUCAAGGCCAGCAGUUUUAGGAAGCUGUUGGUUUCCGGCAGGAGUCUAAAGUGGUAUCUUUCUUAGGUUUGUUGGCCAUUUCAGACAAAUGUAAUGGUCAAUUCAUUAGAAAGAAACAACU
Small nucleolar RNA from Cavia porcellus (domestic guinea pig), 131 nucleotides. NCBI's taxonomy places the organism in Eukaryota, Metazoa, Chordata, Mammalia, Rodentia, Caviidae. The record is from Ensembl.